UACGUAUUGGUCAAGCGUUUUCCUUAUUUAUUGGGCGUAAAGCGCCCUCAUGCGGCUUUCCAAGUUCGAUGUGAAAUCUCCCGGCUCAACUGGGAGGGUGCACGGGAAACCGGAAGGCUAGAGACUCGGAGGGGGGUGCGGAAUUCCCGGUGGAGCGGUGAAAUGCGUUGAUAUCGGGAGGAACACCCGAGGAGAAGGCGGCAAAAUGGUCGAGGUCUGACGCUGAAGAGAGAAAGCGUGGGGAGCGAACGGG
RNAcentral lists this ribosomal RNA (253 nucleotides) under uncultured bacterium. RNAcentral describes it as "partial 16S ribosomal RNA". It matches the Rfam family "Bacterial small subunit ribosomal RNA", at positions 524 to 776 of the family's 1533-position model. The record is from RNAcentral.